UGGGGAAUAUUGGACAAUGGGCGAAAGCCUGAUCCAGCCAUGCCGCGUGUGUGAAGAAGGUCUUCGGAUUGUAAAGCACUUUAAGUUGGGAGGAAGGGCAGUAAGCGAAUACCUUGCUGUUUUGACGUUACCGACAGAAUAAGCACCGGCUAACUCUGUGCCAGCAGCCGCGGUAAUACAGAGGGUGCAAGCGUUAAUCGGAAUUACUGGGCGUAAAGCGCGCGUAGGUGGUUCGUUAAGUUGAAUGUGAAAGCCCCGGGCUCAACCUGGGAACUGCAUCCAAAACUGGCGAGCUAGAGUAGGGCAGAGGGUGGUGGAAUUGCCUGUGUAGCGGAGAAAUGCGUAGAUAUAGGAAGGAACACCAGUGGCGAAGGCGACCACCUGGGCUCAUACUGACACUGAGGUGCGAAAGCGUGGGGAGCAAACAGG
Molecule: ribosomal RNA, 429 nt
Filed under: Pseudomonadota bacterium
Lineage: Bacteria; Pseudomonadati; Pseudomonadota
Description: Proteobacteria bacterium partial 16S ribosomal RNA
Rfam family: Bacterial small subunit ribosomal RNA
Source: RNAcentral